GGGCGGGUAGCUCAGCAGGUAGAGCAGCGGCCUUACAUGCCGCGGGUCGCAGGUUCGAGCCCUGUCCCGCCCA
This 73-nucleotide transfer RNA is filed under the name Myxococcales bacterium. RNAcentral's name for it is "tRNA-Val". It matches the Rfam family "tRNA". Rfam says of the family: Transfer RNA (tRNA) molecules are approximately 80 nucleotides in length. Lineage: Bacteria; Pseudomonadati; Myxococcota; Myxococcia; Myxococcales. The record is from RNAcentral.